GGUCGCGCAGGCUCUCCUGCCCGCCCGAGACCGGGGGGGCCCCGGGGGCGGAGACCGGAGUGCCGCGUGGGCUCGGGGGGCGGGGCCGCAGCCCUCAGGCCCACCCCUCGGGGCUGCUUCCCGGCCGAUGUUGCCGCCCUUCCCGUGCACGUUCUCCUCGAGCCCCCCAGCGUCGUGACUGAAUACCAGCUCUUUUGCCCACCUGAGGAAAGGGUGUCUGAGGACCACGGAGACCACCCCUGCGGGGAAUUUGACAAGGUGUGACUCUUCGGUGCUGAAUAUGCUUUUGUCUGAAAACAAUUGGAGUACCUGAUAAUUUUAGGUGACUUUUAGAAUUUUUAAAUUUUCAAUUUUUCAAAACACCUCUUUGCAUUAACUUUUUUCUUUUUUAUGAGUGUUUUCAUUUUGGAAGGAUAAGUCAAACUAUACAGGAGAAUAUUAAGACUUUAAACAAUAUUUGUAAAUAUACUAUGAGACAUUUAAUACAUUGUGAGCUAAAUGACAGCAGAUAUUUAUCGAAUCUUUUAAGGAAAGGCACUAAGUGCUUCAGGGAACUCCCUUUCGUGCACAGCUGAGACAUCAUUCCUGCCCACAAAUCACUUUAAGCCAGAACCAGUAGAUUAGUAAAAA
Molecule: long non-coding RNA, 630 nt
Organism: Manis pentadactyla (Chinese pangolin)
Lineage: Eukaryota; Metazoa; Chordata; Mammalia; Pholidota; Manidae
Exons: 2
Source: RefSeq, a predicted model, not a curated record